AGUGAACGCUGGCGGUAGGCCUAACACAUGCAAGUCGAACGGCAGCACAGUAAGAGCUUGCUCUUACGGGUGGCGAGUGGCGGACGGGUGAGGAAUACAUCGGAAUCUACUUUUUCGUGGGGGAUAACGUAGGGAAACUUACGCUAAUACCGCAUACGACCUACGGGUGAAAGCAUGGGAUCUUCGGACCUUGCGCGAUUGAAUGAGCCGAUGUCGGAUUAGCUAGUUGGCGGGGUAAAGGCCCACCAAGGCGACGAUCCGUAGCUGGUCUGAGAGGAUGAUAAGCCACACUGGAACUGAGACACGGUCCAGACUCCUAAGGGAGGCAGCAGUGGGGAAUAUUGGACAAAGGGCGCAAGCCUGAUCCAGCCAUACCGCGUGGGUGAAGAAGGCCUUCGGGUUGUAAAGCCCUUUUGUUGGGAAAGAAAAGCAGCAGGUUAAUACCCCGCUGUUCUGACGGUACCCAAAGAAUAAGCACCGGCUAACUUCGUG
Molecule: ribosomal RNA, 492 nt
Filed under: uncultured bacterium
Lineage: Bacteria
Description: partial 16S ribosomal RNA
Rfam family: Bacterial small subunit ribosomal RNA
Source: RNAcentral